AACGUAGGUGGCGAGCGUUAUCCGGAUUUACUGGGCGUAAAGGGUGUGCAGGCGGGCUGUUAAGUGGUGUAUGAAAUAUCCCGGCUCAACCGGGAGAGGUUAUGCCAGACUGGCAGUCUAGAGAGCGAGAGAGGGACGUGGAAUUCCGGGUGUAGUGGUGAAAUGCGUAGAGAUCCGGAGGAACCCCAGAGGCGAAGGCGGUUGCCUGGAGCUUUGCUGACGCUGAGGCGCGAAAGCGUGGGGAGCGAUCCGG
RNAcentral lists this ribosomal RNA (253 nucleotides) under uncultured bacterium. Its description in RNAcentral is "partial 16S ribosomal RNA". It matches the Rfam family "Bacterial small subunit ribosomal RNA", at positions 524 to 776 of the family's 1533-position model. The record is from RNAcentral.